UCCGCCCUUUCCCUGGAGAGAUCAUGGAUGGUAAUCAAAGAAUGAAGACUGAUGAAGAUUGAAGACCGUUACUACCAUCAAGAGGAGGUGACCCUCACUCGUAUAACUAUCUUAUGCAACGUCUAUCUGUCGCUAUACAAAAGAGCAAUAUGGUAUCAGUUCUGGGAUCAUUAGGCAAGGAGAGUUCGGACUUUAUUGACUAAUUAUUGUUAUUAUUAUUAUUAUUAUUAUUAUUGUUAUUAUUAUUAUUAUUAUUAUUAUUAUUAACGAAAGUUAGAAUUAGGACAAA
Molecule: long non-coding RNA, 289 nt
Organism: Amphimedon queenslandica
Lineage: Eukaryota; Metazoa; Porifera; Demospongiae; Haplosclerida; Niphatidae
Exons: 2
Source: RefSeq, a predicted model, not a curated record